AUUGAACGCUGGCGGCGUGCCUAACACAUGCAAGUCGAGCGGUAACAGGUGUAGCAAUACAUGCUGACGAGCGGCGGACGGGUGAGUAACGCUUGGGAAUCUGCCUAUUAGUGGGGGACAACCCGGGGAAACUCGGGCUAAUACCGCAUACGCUCUACGGAGGAAAGCCGGGGACCGCAAGGCCUGGCGCUAAUAGAUGAGCCCAAGUCGGAUUAGCUAGUUGGUAGGGUAAUGGCCUACCAAGGCGACGAUCCGUAACUGGUCUGAGAGGAUGGCCAGCCACAUUGGGACUGAGACACGGCCCAGACUCCUACGGGAGGCAGCAGUGGGGAAUAUUGCGCAAUGGCCGCAAGGCUGACGCAGCGACGCCGCGUGUGGGAUGACGGCCCUCGGGUUGUAAACCACUGUCGGGAGGGACGAAUACGGGGCCUCGAAUAGGGGACCCGUGGGUGACGGUACCUCCAAAGGAAGCACCGGCUAACUCCGUGCCAGCCGCCGCGGUAAG
Molecule: ribosomal RNA, 505 nt
Filed under: uncultured bacterium
Lineage: Bacteria
Description: bacterial SSU rRNA
Rfam family: Bacterial small subunit ribosomal RNA
Source: RNAcentral